This 497-nucleotide ribosomal RNA is filed under the name uncultured bacterium. RNAcentral describes it as "partial 16S ribosomal RNA". It matches the Rfam family "Bacterial small subunit ribosomal RNA", at positions 28 to 507 of the family's 1533-position model. The record is from RNAcentral.
GAUGAACGCUGGCGGCGUGCCUAAUACAUGCAAGUCGAGCGAACGGACGAGAAGCUUGCUUCUCUGAUGUUAGCGGCGGACGGGUGAGUAACACGUGGAUAACCUACCUAUAAGACUGGGAUAACUUCGGGAAACCGUAGCUAAUACCGGAUAAUAUUUUGAACCGCAUGGUUCAAAAGUGAAAGACGGUCUUGCUGUCACUUAUAGAUGGAUCCGCGCUGCAUUAGAUAGUUGGUAAGGUAACGGCUUACCAAGGCAACGAUGCAUAGCCGACCUGAGAGGGUGAUCGGCCACACUGGAACUGAGACACGGUCCAGACUCCUACGGGAGGCAGCAGUAGGGAAUCUUCCGCAAUGGGCGAAAGCCUGACGGAGCAACGCCGCGUGAGUGAUGAAGGUCUUCGGAUCGUAAAACUCUGUUAUUAGGGAAGAACAUAUGUGUAAGUAACUGUGCACAUCUUGACGGUACCUAAUCAGAAAGCCACGGCUAACUACGUG